AUAUUUAAUUUCAUUCAGCAAAUAAUCCAAUUCAGUUUAGUUCAAUUUCUCUUUUCUUCAUUUCUUCAUACAAAAUGUCUUCAUUCAACACAUAAAAAAAUGUUGAGCAGAAUAACCAACUCCACAGUAAAAUGAUUCUCAUAUUUAAUAAAGAGACACAAUAGAACCACUGGGUAUUGAAGUACUCUGUUUUAGUGAGAAUCCCUCUUUGGUCUUUUGAAGAUCAUUGGUGCAUUUAGUCCUCCUUCAGCAAGUCAUAGAAAACCUGUGGCUUUCUAUAAUCUGAGAUGCAUAAAGCCUAAAACCAGAAAUUCUCAAUUUAUCAGCUAUUAUGUAUAAAUAACCAGUGUAGUAAAGUCAUGAGUCCUCGAGAUAUUUAAGAUUCUUUGUGCAGAAAAUGUUAGCUCAGAUUGAUAUUCUGUCACAAAGAGAUUAUGCAGAUAAUCUUGUGUCGAAAGUAAAAUAAUACAACAAAAAUUAGUUAGGAUCAACUUGAUGGAUAUCUUUUGUCAUUUAUCUCUGUGUGAAAUCAAUUUCGCAUCAAUAUUCAAAAAUUAUAAAUCUUUUUAUAAUACUUCUCCCCACGUCAUUUUAAGUCCUACCCUUUUAUUUUUCACUUAUUUCACCACUAACAUAUCACACAUUCACACUAGGGGUAUUCGAUGCUCUAUGUUGGACAUGACCAAAACAUUUUAAUCAACCAUUUCUCAUUUUGUCUCCAAUGUGAGUUAUAUGCUCUCUCCAGCAGAUGUUAUCAUUCUUAAUCUUAUUCGUUAUCAUGUUAUCAGACAUUCAUUUUAACAUUCGCAUUUCUACAAACUCAACUUGUGGGUAUGUUUGUACCUUGAAUCCUCAAUAUUUGCUCCCAUACAACACUAUACAGAUUACGUUAUGUUGAAAGAACAAUGAUAAGCGUGAAAAUUUAUAUAUUUUCUGUCUCAUACUCGAGAGAAAGUCUAGGCUUAAAACCCAUAAUCACUACUUUUAGCUACUUCCAGGUGUGCCAACACAUAUAACUAGAUGUGAAUAUCUACAAAUUAAGUUUACCAACAAUUCAAUCUAAAUCACAUGAGAAAAUUAACAGAAAGAAAGAGGAGUAUUACAAAACUUAAAAUCUCAAAAGCCUUGUAAUCUACCUGCAUUGCAAAUGCUAUGUGGAUUAGAGUAGGUUCAGACCAAGGUUUUCCUAUAAACUGCAGACCAAUAGGCAAACCCUUUUCGUCAUAUCCGACAGGAAUAGUAACUGCUGGCAAUCCCAGAAAGUUUCCAGCUAUCUGAUAUCGAACUAGUGCAGCUCCAUUGAUGUAGUCGAGUUCACCGGUCUCCAUAGCAUCUUUGAAAAUUGGGUAUGCAGUUACGCCAAUGGUUGGUGUAACAAUGACAUCUGCCUUGGCAAAUAUUUUCUUGUGAAACUCCAUUACGCGGUUCCUGAGUUUCUGAGCCUUCACAUACUCUUUUGCAUUGAAAGCACCAUACACAGAAAGUGCUACCCUUGCAUCCCAUCCUAACUCAGCAAAAUUCCUUUUUCAAGAGUAUAUAUUAUCAGCAACCGGAUUUGUUACAAUCCAUGAUAAAAAUGAAGGAUGUUAAUGCAACCAAUUGCUAAACAUAAACACAUACAGCUUUUCUAGAUAGGAACUAAGUGAAGUGGUACACUCAGUUCCAAUUGUUACAUAAUGUGCAAGGCGCAUUGCUUCUAUCUCUGGUAUAGUAACCUCAACAGUCUAACACAUAAGAAUAUCAAGUUUAGCACGUUAGUUAGCAAUGAAAAACAGUAAAAAUUAAUCAAACGUAAAAUGAAUCAUUUUUUUAUUUACACAAACAUCCCAUAUACUACCUAUUUAGGGAAAUUUUCAGUAUUACAAUACUAUUUCUUAUACCUUCCAACCACAUUUCUCAUAGAGUUGGUCCAGUGCAUGGGAACAACAAGCUCUAAUAUCGUCGCUGCAAUCAUUAAACCACUCUCCAUAUCUUGCCAGUCUAACGUUUGAAAUUGGACUAGAAGACCUCAGCAGUGGAAAAUAUACUUUUGGCGGCUGUGUGUUGGAUGAUUCAUUCAAUGGAAAUUGGCCACUAAUAGCUGCAUAAAUGAUAAAUGCAUCCUCUAUGGUGCCUGCUAAUACUCCAACCAUCCCAACCGUCCAGUUCAGAGGAAGAACACCAGCAUGAGGUACACGCCCAAAAGUUGGUUUGAAACCCACAACACCACAAAGAGCUGCUGGCAUUCUGACAGAGCCUCCCCCAUCAACACCAAGGGAAACGGGGCAGAGUCCUGCAGCUACCACUGCAGCAGAUCCACUAGAAGAACCUCCAGAAAUCUUGCCUGCAUCAUAUGGAUUUCUAGUAGCCCCAUAAUGAGGAUUUAUUCCACUUGUUCCAGCUCCAAGCUCAUGCAUGUUAGUUUUUCCAAUAAGCAUAGCACCACAUGAUCUGAGGCACUUAACACAGUACGCAUCUUCUUUACAAGGUCUAAAUUUGUGCAACCACUUCGUACCUCCUGUGGUGGGAUAUGGAUUACAGUCUAUUUCAUCCUUGACGGCAAUUGGGACACCAUCUAGAGCUGAGAUUGGCUUCCCUGUUUGAUACCUUUGAGUUGAUUCAGUGGCCUGCCUAAAAAUAUCUUCAACGUUGUAAUUAAUAAAGAAUGCCAUGUCCAUUGGAGGAGUGGAAGAUUGGCGAAUUGCAGCUAUUAAUCGUUCAGCCACCGCAUAGGGAGUUAUUUGUCCAGAAUUAUAGGCUCUAGAAUAAUCCAUUAUUGUCCAACGACGGAAAGAAUAGUUUAAACCGUUGAGUAGAUUUGGCAGACAUUCAAUCGCCUGUUGAACCCGGUGAGGUGGAGAUAAAUCAGCAUCUAUUAGUUUCACUUCUGGCUCGUUGAGCUCUUCAAACGGAUGCAACGGUACAUAAAGAGGCGAUUCCUCCAGCUCUGCAUUCGAAACAAGCUUGUGAACCAGAUUGUUUCUCGUCAAAAUGUAAAGGAGUGCAGGUCCAAAUAUCCUCGACUCCAGAAACCAGGAAAAAAUUUUGACCAGAAAUCCAGCCAUUCUAGGAGCUUUCACAUUCGCACGCAGAUAGAAUUCCCGGCUAUCAGGACCAAGAUCAACCUUCUCCACAGGCUCGUAAACUACACCCUUCGCCUUCAACAGCCCCAUGCCCGGGUGGUUCAAUUGUUUAAAUCGAGGGAAGAGAUGGUGAUGAGUGAUGAGAAGGAUACGUUUAUAUAUAGAAAGAACAGAGGAAGAGAAAUUAUUAAAAAGUGAAAAACAGAGGAAGAGAAAUUAUUAAAAAGUGAAA
RNAcentral lists this unclassified non-coding RNA (3294 nucleotides) under Hevea brasiliensis (rubber tree). The record is from RNAcentral. Lineage: Eukaryota; Viridiplantae; Streptophyta; Magnoliopsida; Malpighiales; Euphorbiaceae.